This 737-nucleotide long non-coding RNA is filed under the name Sinocyclocheilus grahami. Its description in RNAcentral is "lncRNA (ENSSGRG00000008668.1)". Lineage: Eukaryota; Metazoa; Chordata; Actinopteri; Cypriniformes; Cyprinidae. The record is from RNAcentral.
UUUCUCCUUGUAGAAUAUAGAUGUGACAAACUUCAGCAGCAGCUGGAGUGAUGGCCUGGCGUUCUGUGCUCUGUUACACACCUAUCUGCCUGCACACAUCCCUUACCAAGAGCUCAUCAGCCAAGACAAGGGGCGAAACCUCACCCUGGCUUUCCAAGCAGCCGAAAGCAUUGGUAUUAAGCCCUCUCUGGACAUUGAUGAGUUGAUGCACACAGACCGACCGGACUGGCAAAGUGUCAUGCAAUAUGUAUCUCAGAUCUAUAAGUAUUUUGAGACUUAAUUUUUGACUGGAAGAAAGGAAGAGGAAGAUGAAGACGAAGAGGAGGGCACAGAAGCACUUUUAUUUGCCUGGUCCAGUUCUCCCUACAGUGUUUGUAAAUACACAAACACACAGUUCUGUAGUGUUCACACCAGUCAGGUUUUCUCUCUGAAUGCAACCAGCAUAUCAUAUUCAGUACAAUAGUCAUACACACGCAAACACACAACUUCUCUUUUCCUUACAAUUCGUGUGUCAUAUAGACCUAACUUAGUUUUUGAAGUUUGAAGUUGCUUGCAGAGUGCAGGUUAGCAAUCUUGCACUGAAACUGGUAUAGUUUUUUUAGUAUGUUACAUUUUUGCUAAGAGUUGAAGUGCAGCUGCUAAUCUUUAUAGAGAGUAUUAUUACCCAAAUCUAUAUAUUGACAUACUUAUAUAUUGAUAUACUUAUAAAGUAUUUUUAAAAUGUUAGUUUUCCCACA